UACGAAGGGGGCUAGCGUUGUUCGGAAUUACUGGGCGUAAAGCGCACGUAGGCGGAUGUCUAAGUCGGGGGUGAAAGCCUUGGGCUCAACCCAAGAAUUGCCUUCGAUACUGGAUAUCUUGAGACCGGGAGAGGUGAGUGGAAUUCCGAGUGUAGAGGUGAAAUUCGUAGAUAUUCGGAAGAACACCAGUGGCGAAGGCGGCUCACUGGCCCGGUUCUGACGCUGAGGUGCGAAAGCGUGGGGAGCAAACAGG
This 253-nucleotide ribosomal RNA is filed under the name uncultured bacterium. Its description in RNAcentral is "partial 16S ribosomal RNA". It matches the Rfam family "Bacterial small subunit ribosomal RNA", at positions 524 to 776 of the family's 1533-position model. The record is from RNAcentral.